GAUUAGCCUGCGUCCGAUUAGCUAGUUGGUAGGGUAACGGCCUACCAAGGCGACGAUCGGUAGGUGGUCUGAGAGGAUGAUCACCCACAAUGGAACUGAGACACGGUCCAUACUCCUACGGGAGGCAGCAGUGGGGAAUUUUACACAAUGGGGGAAACCCUGAUGUAGCGACACCGCGUGAGCGAAGAAGCCCCUCGGGGUGUAAAGUUCUGUCGGCUGGGACGAAAAAAAUGACGGUACCAGCAAAGGAAGCAUCGGCUAACUACGUGCCAGCAGCCGCGGUAAGACGUAGGAUGCAAGCGUUGUCCGGAUUUAUUGGGCGUAAAGAGUUCGUAGGUGGUUUGUUAAGUCUGAUGUUAAAGACUGAGGCUCAACCUCGGGAGUGCAUUGGAUACUGGCAGACUAGAGUAUGGUAGAGGCAAGCGGAAUUCCCAGUGUAGCGGUGAAAUGCGUAGAUAUUGGGAAGAACACCGGUGGCGUAGGCGGCUUGCUGGGCCAUAACUGACGCUGAGGAACGAAAGCCAGGGGAGCAAAUGGGAUUAGAUACCCCAGUAGUCCUGGCUGUAAACGAUGUCAACUAGCUGUUGG
This 588-nucleotide ribosomal RNA is filed under the name uncultured Legionella sp. RNAcentral describes it as "bacterial SSU rRNA". It matches the Rfam family "Bacterial small subunit ribosomal RNA", at positions 224 to 826 of the family's 1533-position model. Lineage: Bacteria; Pseudomonadati; Pseudomonadota; Gammaproteobacteria; Legionellales; Legionellaceae. The record is from RNAcentral.